Molecule: transfer RNA, 65 nt
Filed under: Arctopsyche sp. XG-2022
Lineage: Eukaryota; Metazoa; Arthropoda; Insecta; Trichoptera; Hydropsychidae
Description: tRNA-Ser
Source: RNAcentral
GAAAUAUAAUUUUAAACAUUAAACUUCUAAUUUAAUUUAUAGUGAAUAAAUUCAUUAAUAUUUCU